GGACGAACGCUGGCGGCGUGCCUAAUACAUGCAAGUCGAGCGGAUCUUUUCCUUCGGGGAAAGGUUAGCGGCGGACGGGUGAGUAACACGUGGGUAACCUGCCCAUAAGACUGGGAUAACAUUCGGAAACGAAUGCUAAUACCGGAUACGCGAAUUGGUCGCAUGGCCGAAUCGGGAAAGGCGGAGCAAUCUGCCACUUAUGGAUGGACCCGCGGCGCAUUAGCUAGUUGGUGAGGUAACGGCUCACCAAGGCGACGAUGCGUAGCCGACCUGAGAGGGUGAUCGGCCACACUGGGACUGAGACACGGCCCAGACUCCUACGGGAGGCAGCAGUAGGGAAUCUUCCGCAAUGGACGAAAGUCUGACGGAGCAACGCCGCGUGAGUGAUGAAGGUUUUCGGAUCGUAAAGCUCUGUUGCCAGGGAAGAACGCUUACGAGAGUAACUGCUCGUAAGGUGACGGUACC
This 465-nucleotide ribosomal RNA is filed under the name soil bacterium 12V-12. RNAcentral describes it as "bacterial SSU rRNA". It matches the Rfam family "Bacterial small subunit ribosomal RNA", at positions 27 to 479 of the family's 1533-position model. The record is from RNAcentral.